GGGCAGAAUAACAUCGAUCUCUCGAGCUCCAGAGGACGCUGAUUCUGGCAAGAACGAACAAAUCAAGAACAAGGUUAUUUCAAAAUACAUAAUAGCUUGGCGAAUAUAAACGAAAACAGUCACGUGAACAUAAACAGUUGAGAAAUAAAUCUGAAGUGUAUCAUGAUACUGGAUUUGAAUAUUAAAGUGACUGCAUUUACCAGCUGCUUUCUGUCUUUAAUUUUAAUCUAUAAAAACAGAAAAUCAUUCGUCUUGGCUGCUUUUUUUGUAUGUAUUCAUGUAUUUAUUAUUAUUAUUAUUUUUUUUUUUUUUUGCUCUAACAAGAAUUAAUCUAUAUUUAAUUAAAUUAAAUUUCUGCAUCUAAACACCUAUAAACCUAAAACAUGCUCUAUUAAACUAUUGUUAGCAAUUUCUUUAUCGUCCAGUUUAACUGGUGUACACACUUUUAUUUUCAUAAUAAAUUUGUUUUUUUUAGAUAAUAGACAGUUACAGUGGUCUAUAAUAAAUAUUAACAGGUUUUGUUCAAGCUGCUUAAAAUGUUUGAAGUAGGCUCAUUUUUUUAAAUGUAAAUCCUAAAAAAAAAACAAAAAAAAAAAAAAAAAAUAAAACUGGGAAACAGCCAUAUUUACGAAAAGGUGCUUAACCUAUAGAAAAAUAAAACUAUGAAUUAAAUUAGUGUUUAAUUUUUAGUAAUGACCAUUUUUGUUGUCAUAAAAACCUUCUUCUUUACAAUACAGAAUAACGAUUGUCAAUAGUAAAUAUUAUGAAAACAAUAACUGUUGUAUUUUUCAUCAUUAUAUAGUUUAUGUAUUAUAAUUGUAAAAACAAAACAAAUUUAGCAACUCACAUAGUAAUCAUUCAACACUGCUUAAAA
Long non-coding RNA from Cyprinus carpio carpio, 874 nucleotides. The record is from Ensembl. NCBI's taxonomy places the organism in Eukaryota, Metazoa, Chordata, Actinopteri, Cypriniformes, Cyprinidae.